AUUUAAAUACAUCUCAUGUUGAGGUUCAAC
Non-coding RNA from Clostridium autoethanogenum DSM 10061, 30 nucleotides. The record is from Rfam. Lineage: Bacteria; Bacillati; Bacillota; Clostridia; Eubacteriales; Clostridiaceae.